This 253-nucleotide ribosomal RNA is filed under the name uncultured bacterium. Its description in RNAcentral is "partial 16S ribosomal RNA". It matches the Rfam family "Bacterial small subunit ribosomal RNA", at positions 524 to 776 of the family's 1533-position model. The record is from RNAcentral.
UACGUAGGAUGCAAGCGAUGUCCGGGUUUAUUGGGGUUAAAGGGUGCGUAGGCGGCCUAUUAAGUUAGUGGUGAAAACGUUCGGCUUAACCGGAUACCCGCCAUUGAUACUGAUAGACUUGAGUGCGACAGAGGGUGUUGGAAUGUGUGGUGUAGCGGUGAAAUGCUUAGAUAUCACGCAGAACACCAAUUGCGAAGGCAGAUGCCUAUGUCGUAACUGACGCUGAGGCACGAAAGCGUGGGGAGCAAACAGG